This 72-nucleotide transfer RNA is filed under the name Camelus bactrianus (Bactrian camel). It matches the Rfam family "tRNA". Rfam says of the family: Transfer RNA (tRNA) molecules are approximately 80 nucleotides in length. Their secondary structure includes four short double-helical elements and three loops (D, anti-codon, and T loops). The record is from Rfam by way of RNAcentral. RNAcentral also lists the same sequence under 2 other names. Lineage: Eukaryota; Metazoa; Chordata; Mammalia; Artiodactyla; Camelidae.
AGGGGUAUAGCUCUGUGGUAGAGCAUGUACUUGGUGUGUAUGAGGUCCUGAGUUCAAUUCCCAGUGCCUCUG